AUUGAACGCUGGCGGAAUGCUUUACACAUGCAAGUCGAACGGCAGCACGGGGCAACCUGGUGGCGAGUGGCGAACGGGUGAGUAAUACAUCGGAACGUGCCCAAUCGUGGGGGGAUAACGUAGCGAAAGUUACGCUAAUACCGCAUACGAUCUACGGAUGAAAGCGGGGGAUCGCAAAGACCUCGCGCGAGUGGAGCGGCCGAUGUCAGAUUAGGUAGUUGGUGGGGUAAAGGCUCACCAAGCCAACGAUCUGUAGCUGGUCUGAGAGGACGACCAGCCACACUGGAACUGAGACACGGUCCAGACUCCUACGGGAGGCAGCAGUGGGGAAUUUUGGACAAUGGGCGAAAGCCUGAUCCAGCCAUGCCGCGUGAGUGAAGAAGGCCUCGG
RNAcentral lists this ribosomal RNA (390 nucleotides) under uncultured bacterium. Its description in RNAcentral is "bacterial SSU rRNA". It matches the Rfam family "Bacterial small subunit ribosomal RNA", at positions 29 to 420 of the family's 1533-position model. The record is from RNAcentral.